AGCCUACCCUAGCCCAACCACGACCAUUAAACCUAGACAGCCAAAAUCCACUCCCCCACUUAGACUAAAACAUUCUUCUAACCUAGUAUAGGCGAUAGAAAAGUCCCCACUUGGCGCCAUAGGGAUACCGUACCGUAAGGGAAAGAUGAAAUAAUAGUGAAAAUCGAGCAAUACACAGCAAAGAUAAACCCUUGUACCUUUCGCAUCAUGGUCUAGCAAGAAUAACCAAGCAAAGUGAACUUAAGCUUGCCACCCCGAAACCCAAGCGAGCUACUUGCAAGCAGCUGCCCCCGAGCGAACCCGUCUCUGUCGCAAAAGAGUGGGAUGACUUGCUAGUAGAAGUGAAAAGCCAACCGAGCUGGGUGAUAGCUGGUUGCCUGUGAAACGAAUCUCAGUUCUUCCUUGAUCCCUUUCCCCCCGGAACCCUUAGCCCAACCUCCAUGUAACAAAUCAAGAGUAACUUAAAGGGGGUACAGCUCCUUUAAAACAGAAAACAAUCUCCACUAGCGGAUACACUCAACAUUUCAAAACUUAUACCUAAAACCUGUAGGCCCUCAAGCAGCCACCAACAAAGAGUGCGUCAAAGCUCCUCCCCAAAAAAUCCAAAAAUAAUGUCACUCCCUCCCCACCAACAGGCUAACCUAUAACAAUAGGAGAGUCAAUGCUAGAAUGAGUAACUAGGGAACAUCCCUCUUAAGCGCAAACUUACAUUCUUCCAUUAUUAACAAGAUUCCAAUCAAUGUCCCAAUUUCAACAAGACCUUACAUUAAACCCGCCUUGUUAGCCCAACAUCAGGAGCGCCCAACUAGAAAGAUUAAAACCUGUAAAAGGAACUAGGCAAAUUUGAGGCCCGACUGUUUACCAAAAACAUAGCCUUCAGCAACCCAAGUAUUGAAGGUGAUGCCUGCCCAGUGACCCUACGUUUAACGGCCGCGGUAUCCUAACCGUGCAAAGGUAGCGCAAUCAAUUGUCCCAUAAAUCGAGACUUGUAUGAAUGGCUAAACGAGGUCUCAACUGUCUCCUACAGGUAAUCAGUGAAAUUGAUCUUCCCGUGCAAAAGCAGGAAUAUGCUCAUAAGACGAGAAGACCCUGUGGAACUUAAAAAUCAACGGCCACUUGACUACUUUCAUCCAAACCUACCAGGCUCACAUUCUAACAAACACUGGCUCGUAUUUUUCGGUUGGGGCGACCUUGGAGAAGAACAAAUCCUCCAAAAACAAGAACAACCCUCUUAACCAAGAACAACCCCUCAACGUACUAAUAGUAACCAGACCCAAUAUAAUUGAUCAAUGAACCAAGCUACCCCAGGGAUAACAGCGCAAUCUCCCCCAAGAGCCCGUAUCGACGGGGAGGUUUACGACCUCGAUGUUGGAUCAGGACAUCCUAAUGGUGCAGCCGCUAUUAAGGGUUCGUUUGUUCAACGAUUAAUAGUCCUACGUGAUCUGAGUUCAGACCGGAGCAAUCCAGGUCGGUUUCUAUCUAUGACACACUUUUCCCAGUACGAAAGGACCGGAAAAGUGGGGCCAAUAUUACAAACACGCCCCCACCCCAAACAGUGCACCCAACUAAACUGUGAAGGGCACCCCACCCCCCGCCCCAGACAAAGGGCC
RNAcentral lists this ribosomal RNA (1610 nucleotides) under Sagittarius serpentarius. RNAcentral describes it as "16S ribosomal RNA". It matches the Rfam family "Bacterial large subunit ribosomal RNA". The record is from RNAcentral. Lineage: Eukaryota; Metazoa; Chordata; Aves; Accipitriformes; Sagittariidae.